CGUCACACUGAUAUCAUCCCUAGCAAAAGCAUUUUUGCUGGAGUCUACCAUUUUUAUUUUAGUUAAUAAAAUAUAAAUAUUUCCUCUCCUUAUUUCGGUUGUGCGCGUACAUAAACUGCUAAAGAACUAUCUUUCUAACGUUAUCCGGGUGUUGAAGAGCCAGCUUGCUGCGAGAAACGACCAAUUUCCAACGCGAUUUUCCCAUUUAAUUUUUUUCCACCGUACAAAAUUUUUUGUGAGUGAAGAGCCAACCUUGAGAAACACCCAGCACAGCAGUUCCAAUAGUUUCGCUUGCUCAAUUGCUCAUCUGUGAAAUCGUGCUCACGAACGAACAUACUAUAUUGUUAAGUCGACGAGGCCUGCAAGGGGAACGCCUCCAUCAUGGACAAGAUGCGUAUACUGAAGGAAAGUCGCCCCGAAAUAAUUGUCGGUGGCAAAUAUCGGGUCAUACGCAAGAUAGGCAGCGGCUCUUUCGGUGACAUCUAUCUGGGCAUGAGCAUCCAGAGCGGCGAGGAGGUGGCCAUCAAGAUGGAGAGUGCCCAUGCCCGCCAUCCCCAGCUGUUGUACGAGGCCAAGCUGUACCGCAUUCUGAGCGGCGGCGUUGGCUUCCCACGCAUCCGCCACCACGGCAAGGAGAAGAACUUCAAUACGCUGGUGAUGGACCUGCUGGGGCCCUCGCUGGAGGAUCUGUUCAAUUUCUGUACGCGCCACUUCACCAUCAAGACGGUGCUGAUGCUGGUCGACCAGAUGAUCGGUCGCCUUGAAUAUAUCCAUCUCAAGUGCUUUAUCCAUCGCGACAUCAAGCCGGACAACUUCCUCAUGGGCAUCGGCCGGCAUUGCAACAAGCUAUUCUUGAUCGACUUUGGUCUGGCCAAGAAGUACCGCGACCCCCACACGCGCCACCACAUCUUGUACAGGGAGGACAAGAAUUUGACGGGAACCGCCCGAUAUGCUUCGAUCAAUGCCCAUCUGGGCAUCGAGCAGUCUCGCCGCGACGACAUGGAGUCCCUCGGCUAUGUGAUGAUGUACUUCAAUCGCGGCGUCCUGCCCUGGCAGGGCAUGAAGGCCAACAACAAGCAGCAGAAGUACGAGAAAAUCUCAGAGAAGAAGAUGUCAACGCCCAUCGAGGUGCUGUGCAAGGGUUCGCCGGCCGAGUUCUCCAUGUACUUGAACUAUUGCCGCAGCUUGCGUUUCGAGGAACAGCCAGACUACAUGUACCUACGUCAAUUGUUCCGCAUACUGUUUAGGACGCUGAACCAUCAGUAUGACUACAUUUACGACUGGACAAUGCUGAAGCAGAAGACCCACCAGGGUCAGGCGAAUCCUGCAAUACUCUUGGAGCAAUUGGACAAGGACAAGGAGAAGCAGAACGGCAAGCCGCUGAUCGCGGACUAGGGCGAUGACGGAUAUCGCGGGAGGUUGUUGAAUAAAAAAUGAAAGGGGGGGAAACAUACAAAACACACACACUAUAAGAGAAAUGAAUAUGAAAUGAGCGCGGAAUGGAGAGCGGAGUGGAGUUGAGUUGGCCAAGGAGCGGAAUGGAUAACGAUAGAGAAAUACACUGCGAAGCGAAAUAAGGAAGAGGAAUCAUAGGAAGAAAAGCAGAAUCCGAAACAGAAACGAGUAAAAAGCAAAAAUGGAGAAACGAAGUAAUACACAUUCGGGACAUAGGAUGUUUCGUAAUUAAUUAAUUUAAAUUCAAUACUAAAAGAAUAAGGAACAAGCCAGACACAGACACAUACACACACACACAUAUAUUCACAUACCUACACACAGUACAACAGUCCCAGAAAAAAUACAGAUAAAGACGAGAUGACGAUGGUUCCAAGAAGUGAACCAACAGCAGACCAGGAUCCACAGAUUGCACAGAUCAUAAUGCAUACACACUCACGCAUAAGCAUGCAACACAAGCUCACACACCCACAACCACACCCACUACACAACAACAACAAACACACUUAGUAUAACAAAUUUACCAGAUUUAAUGUAGAAGCGGAACAAAAAUCGUAAGCAAUUUCGUGUAUAUACAUAUAUAUGUACAUAGGCAUAUAUGUAGACCAGAUAUGUGCUCAUACUAUAUAUAUAUAUAUAUAUGUAUGCAGGUAGACCCAUUUUGAAUUGUAAUUGAAAAUUGAUUGAUUCGAUAUCGAAUUCUCUCGCACCAUUGCUGCUUGUUGAUUCAACAAAGAUUGAAAUCGCAUCCAAUCCCAUAUAUACCAUCCCAUAUAUAUCAUGCGAUCAUGCGAUAACGAUAGCGAUGUAUCCCCGCAUGUAUAUGGAAACGAUACGAUACGAUAUAUAACAAUAUUUGAAUUUGAUUUCAAUCAAUUUCCACGCCCACUGCUUGAUUAUGGCUGCGAAUCAGACUCAAUAACUAAUUGAAAUCGCAUCAAUAAAUAAGCAGAGAAUAAAACAGAAAACAAAACACACAAAAGAAGGGAAAUCGAACGAUAAAAGAUUUAAAAAACGUAAAAAACAUAAAGUUGCCGCCAGGAAGCACAGCAAAGCCAACUGGGACGACGAGGGGGGAAAGCAGUAAUAAAUACAGCAAAAGAUGAGUAAAAACAAAACAAAAAAAAACAUCAAAUAAUAAUAAUACAAUAAAAAACAAACAAAAAAAAAACAAUGAAAAAGCCGAACGCAAAACUGCAAAGUAAUUUUGCAUAGUAAGCAGUAAUAAUUAUAAACAUAACUUAUAUUUAAUUUUUUGAAUUACAUCAAUAAAUAUGUUGAAAUUAUGUACAUCGCUCUGUCGAUCGGAUCGAUGGGACGCCCCGAUGCCCCGGAUUUCUGUAACUUCGCGACGGAACCUUCGAAUGACACCUCGCCACUAAAUAGACAGAGAGAGGUAGAGAUGGUGCGAGGAUAGAAGAACAGCAAGAAGUCGAUGCAGGAAAACGUCAGGCACAGCCUUUAAUCAAUCGAUCGUAGAUCUAAAGAACUAUAGAGAAUUACAUACCUAUAUAUAAACCAAUUUGAAAUCUGAAAAUCGUGCAAUUUCGAGGAAGAAAACUACCGACACAUAAAUUUCUUUGAAAUGUCUGAAAAUAUACAUAAUAGUAAAUCCCAAACAUUUAUAAAGAUUAUCUAUCAAUCCAUAAAUGAAGCAUCCAAAGGCAUCCCGUAAUAGUCAUUCAAAACUCAAAAGAAAACAUUACGAUUCGCGCUAAGAAUCAAAAAUGUUAUAGGAUGUUGUUAUGUUGAAAAUGCAUACCACUUUGAGUGAGGGUAGUAGCUAUUGUUUUGAGAUCUAAUUGUCGAAGGAAUGGAAUGGAAUGGUUUCGACCGAUCCUAUAAUUUAACGACAUUUUGAACCCGUUUCUAGCUAUGACCCAUCGAGUAUUAUGAUAUUAUAUGCAGGGAGGGGGAGUGGAGCUCUUCUUUAACAGGAAGACCAGCAAAUACUUUUUCAUCGGAAAACAGAAUAAAGGAUUCUAUUCUGAAGCCAUUCACGACCGACCUGCCGUUGCCUGGGAUUCCAUCUAUUUUGGAUACUUUCAUAGUACAAGGAUUCGGUACCACUGAAAUUUUCGGACCUAUCAACAAAUAAAGAUUACAGUGCAGUGCCGCAGUUUGCAUGCAAUUCACACAGAUGGAAGCAUGGAAGGAUAUGCAUACGAAGACAGCCCCUAUAGAAUGUAUAUAAAGAAAAGAAGUCAUUCCUUUUUGGUUCUCAAUGCCACUGCAUUCUACUACUCGCGGAUUACUUGGGACAUCCUUGGGACAUAUUUAUUAACUGUUAUUUUGGCCACUUUUCUGUUGUAUUGUUCUUAAUUUGUGAAUCUGCAUACAUACAAAUAUGAACAUUUUUA
Molecule: unclassified non-coding RNA, 3812 nt
Filed under: Drosophila pseudoobscura pseudoobscura
Lineage: Eukaryota; Metazoa; Arthropoda; Insecta; Diptera; Drosophilidae
Description: GA15193
Source: RNAcentral